Molecule: long non-coding RNA, 352 nt
Filed under: Mytilus galloprovincialis (Mediterranean mussel)
Lineage: Eukaryota; Metazoa; Mollusca; Bivalvia; Mytilida; Mytilidae
Source: RNAcentral
GUUGGUGAUUUUAACAUUUUCUGUUAAUUCUAUUGAUUGUCUAGAAUAUGACUGGAAUAGAGUUUGAUACUUGUAAGUUAACAGUAUCAAAAUCUGAUCCACUACAUGUUAUGGACAGUUACAAAAUAUAUAUCUUAUGAAGACGAAACGUGCGUCUGGCAUACUAAAUUAUAAUCCUGGUACCUUUGAUUUACACCACUGGGUCGAUGCCACUGCUGGUGGACGUUUCGUCCCCGAGGGUAUCACCAGCCCAGUAGUAACUGCAGUGUUGACAUGAAUAUAAAUAAUGUGGUCAUUUUAAUAAAUUUCCUGUUUAUACAAAACUUUGAAUUUUUCGAAAAACUAAGGAUUU